GGAGGACUGCAAUGUGCACUCGGCCGCCAGCAUCCUGGCCUCGGUGAAGGAGCAGGAGGCCCGCUUCGAGAGGCUGACACGGGCACUGGAGCAGGAGCGGCGCCAUGUUGCCCUGCAACUGGAGCGUGCCCAGCAGCCUGGCAUGGUCAGUGGUGGCAUGGGCGGUGGGCAGCCCCUGCCAAUGGCCUGGCAACAGCUGGUCCUCCAGGAACAGAGCCCAGGCAGCCAGGCCUCACUGGCCACGAUGCCGGAGGCACCUGAUGUGCUGGAGGAGACCGUGACGGUGGAGGAGGACCCCGGCACGCCCACUUCCCAUGUGUCUAUUGUCACAUCCGAAGAUGGCACGACCCGGCGCACCGAGACCAAGGUCACCAAGACUGUCAAGACGGUGACCACUCGGACAGUACGCCAGGUGCCCGUAGGCCCAGACGGACUCCCCCUGCUGGAUGGCGGCCCCCCACUAGGCCCUUUUGCAGAUGGUGCCCUGGACCGGCAUUUCCUGCUGCGUGGUGGUGGCCCAGCGGCCACACUCUCUCGAGCCUACCUCAGCAGCGGGAGUGGCUUUCCCGAAGGCCCCGAGCCCCGGGACAGCACCAGCUAUGGCAGCCUGUCCCGAGGGCUGGGCAUGCGGCCCCCACAUGUGGGCCUCCUUGGCCCAGGCCCUGGUGAUGGCUGCUUCACGCUGCCUGGCCACCGGGAAGCCUUCCCGGUGGGUCCUGAGCCUGGGCCACCAGGUGGCCGCUCCCUGCCCGAGCGCUUCCAGGCAGAGCCGUAUGGCUUGGAGGAUGACACGCGCAGCCUGGCCGCUGAUGACGAGGGUGGCCCUGAGCUGGAGCCUGACUAUGGCACGGCCACGAGGAGGAGGCCUGAGUGUGGGCGGGGCCUUCAUACCAGGUGAGCUGCACCCGGUCCCCUGUGGCUACCUCCUCUGGGAAGUCCGCUGUCCACCCCCCAACUACAGAGUGCCCCACUUGUCAAGUGGCUGCAGUUGAGUUAGUCAUGCACGUUAGUUUGAAUUGGCCUUGGCUCUCGUCAGGGACAGAAGAAAGGUGGACCCUGGGAUGGUAGGAGUUCGGCUGGGCACUGUCCUGCAGGCCCAGGGCCCAGGAAAAGCUGGGAAGAGUGCCGGCCACUGGCCUUGCUCCAGCCACACUCUGGGUAACCAGAACCCAGAGCCCUGGCCCUUGUCACAGCCCCUGGUUCUGUCCCCAUUGCCCUCAGUUUCUGCAUCUCUGGAGUGGGGAUGUGACCACAGCCCGGGUCUGGAUUUUGUUGUGUGACCCUGGCCAAGUCACCUGACCGUCACUCCUAGCCUCAGGGCAGGGGGUUUGAUGACAGCAACCCACAGGGCUACUGAGAGCUAAGGAGAUCUUGUGCCCCAAGGGGCUGGUGGCCUGAAUACCCCUCAGGUGGUCCUGCUGGGAUGGCUUCAUGCGGAGAGGCCAUUUACUCCCCUACAUCCUGGCACAGCCAGAGAUGGGCCUCAUGGAAGAUGGGGUGGUUUUGUGGAAGGGAGGUGAGACGGUCUUUCCAGCAGCCAUAGCAGAUGUCGCACAGAAACAUGUUUUGCUCAGGAUCGGGAAACUGCCCGGUGACAGCAGUGAGUGAGCUUGCUGUCCUGGGAGGGUUACCUGGGUCCUGAUAGCCGCUGGCUGGGGUUUGGCAUUUGGCUCUGAAUUGGUUCUCACUGGGCUGGUGCAUGACUCUCUGUGUCCCCACCAUGCUCCGGGCCGAGAUACAGGUGCUCUCAGCCCAGCCUUGCUGGGUGAGUUUGCAGUCCUGAAGAAGGUGUGAUGGGGCAGCUCAGAGGCAGGGCUGGCGGCUGCUGUGACGAUGUCCACGCGCCCCACUUGCCUGUGCAGGGCCUACGAGGACACAGCAGAUGAUGGCGGCGAGCUGACGGACGAGCGGCCUGCGUUCCCAACGGUGACGGCGCCCCUGGCCCAGCCUGAACGGGGCAGCCUGGGCAGCCUGGACCGGCUGGUGCGGCGCUCGCCCUCAGUGGAUAGCGCCCGCAAGGAGCCGCGCUGGCGGGACCCUGAGCUGCCUGAGGUGCUGGCCAUGCUGCGGCACCCCGUGGACCCCGUGAAGGCCAAUGCGGCUGCCUA
RNAcentral lists this small RNA (2108 nucleotides) under Pongo abelii (Sumatran orangutan). Its description in RNAcentral is "retained intron". Lineage: Eukaryota; Metazoa; Chordata; Mammalia; Primates; Hominidae. The record is from RNAcentral.